This 405-nucleotide ribosomal RNA is filed under the name bacterium. RNAcentral's name for it is "bacterial SSU rRNA". It matches the Rfam family "Bacterial small subunit ribosomal RNA", at positions 354 to 776 of the family's 1533-position model. RNAcentral also lists the same sequence under 1 other name. The record is from RNAcentral.
GUGGGGAAUAUUGCACAAUGGGGGAAACCCUGAUGCAGCGACGCCGCGUGAGUGAAGAAGUAUUUCGGUAUGUAAAGCUCUAUCAGCAGGGAAGAUGAUGACGGUACCUGAGUAAGAAGCCCCGGCUAACUACGUGCCAGCAGCCGCGGUAAUACGUAGGGGGCAAGCGUUAUCCGGAUUUACUGGGUGUAAAGGGAGCGUAGACGGCAUGGCAAGUCUGAAGUGAAAGCCCGGGGCUCAACCGCGGGACUGCUUUGGAAACUGUUAAGCUGGAGUGCAGGAGAGGUAAGUGGAAUUCCUAGUGUAGCGGUGAAAUGCGUAGAUAUUAGGAGGAACACCAGUGGCGAAGGCGGCUUACUGGACUGUAACUGACGUUGAGGCUCGAAAGCGUGGGGAGCAAACAGG